Molecule: ribosomal RNA, 523 nt
Filed under: Risiocnemis praeusta
Lineage: Eukaryota; Metazoa; Arthropoda; Insecta; Odonata; Platycnemididae
Description: partial 16S ribosomal RNA
Rfam family: Bacterial large subunit ribosomal RNA
Source: RNAcentral
GUCCUCCUGAUUUUUUAUGAGGUCAGGCCUGCCCGGUGAUUUUUUAACGGCCGCGGUAUAUUGACCGUGCAAAGGUAGCAUAAUCAUUAGUCUUUUAAUAGAAGGCUGGUAUGAAAGGUUUAACGAAGUGUUAACUGUCUCAUUUUUAUAGUUUAAAAUUUAAUUUUUGAGUUAAAAAGCUCAGAUUUUUUUGUAGGACGAGAAGACCCUAUAGAGCUUUACAUUUUAUAUUUUAAUAAUAUUUAAUAUUGUGUUAUUAUUUUAUUUAUGUUUAGUUGGGGUGACGAAAGAUAUAUAAUUAGCUUCUUUAUUUUGAUUUCAUUUAUUUAUGGUUAUUUGAUCCUUUAUUAUUGAUUAUUAGUUUAAGUUACCUUAGGGAUAACAGCGUAAUCUUCUUUUGGAGUUCUAAUUUACAAGAAGGGUUGCGACCUCGAUGUUGGAUUAAGAUAAUUAUUUGGUGCAGUAGCUGAAUUAAUAGGUCUGUUCGACCUUUAAAUUCUUACAUGAUCUGAGUUCAGACCGG